RNAcentral lists this non-coding RNA (770 nucleotides) under Hydrothassa fairmairei. Lineage: Eukaryota; Metazoa; Arthropoda; Insecta; Coleoptera; Chrysomelidae. The record is from RNAcentral.
GAAAAGUUUAAUUUUAACUUUAAAAUUUGAUAUUAUUUUAAUUUAAAUGUAAAUUUUAGUAUUUUUCAUUUUUUAAUAAAAUGAAUUUUUUAUGCAUUAAAUACUAUUAAAUAUUAGAGAAAUUUAGAUUUAGUAAUAAUAUAAGUAUUAACUUAAUUUGUGCCAGCAGUUGCGGUUAUACAAAUAAUACAAUUUAAUUAUUUUAGUUUUAAUAAAUUGAUAAUUAAUAAUUUUAAAUUAAAAUUUAUUAAGUGAAAUUUUAAAUUUUAAAAAGAUUAAUAUUUGUUAAUGAUUAUUUAAGAAAUUUUAGAUAUAAACUAGGAUUAGAUACCCUAUUAUUUAAAAUGUAAUUUUAAAAACUAAAUUAGUAUUAGUUAUGUUCUUGAAAAUUAAAGAUUUUGGCGGUAUUUUAGUCUAUUCAGAGGAACCUGUUCUAUAAUUGAUAAUCCACGAUUUAAUUUACUUUUUUUAUAUUAGUUUGUAUAUCAUCGUUGUUAGAAUAUUUUAUAAGAAUUUUAAUAUUCAAAAUUUAUGAUAAUAAAAAAAAUCAGAUCAAGGUGCAGUUUAUAAAAAAGAAGAAAUGGGUUACUAUAAUUAAAAUUUAAGAUAAUUAUUAUUAUAAUAAUUUGAAUAAGGAUUUGAUAGUAAUUUUAAUUAAUUUAUUAAAAUGAUUUUGGCUCUAAAAUAUGUACAUAUCGCCCGUCGCUUUCAUUAUAAUGUGAAAUAAGUCGUAACAAAGUAGAUUUACUGGAAAGUGAAUCUAGAGACAG